GUGGGGAAUAUUGGACAAUGGGCGAAAGCCUGAUCCAGCCAUGCCGCGUGUGUGAAGAAGGUCUUCGGAUUGUAAAGCACUUUAAGUUGGGAGGAAGGGCAGUAAGUUAAUACCUUGCUGUUUUGACGUUACCGACAGAAUAAGCACCGGCUAACUUCGUGCCAGCAGCCGCGGUAAUACGAAGGGUGCAAGCGUUAAUCGGAAUUACUGGGCGGAAAGCGCGCGUAGGUGGUUUUGUAAGUUGGAGGUGAAAUCCCCGGGCGCAACCUGGGAACUGCCUCCAAAACUGCAUGACUAGAGUACGGUAGAGGGUAGUGGAAUUUCCUGUGUAGCGGUGAAAUGCGUAGAUAUAGGAAGGAACACCAGUGGCGAAGGCGACUACCUGGACUGAUACUGACACUGAGGUGCGAAAGCAUGGGGAGCAAACAGGAUUAGAUACCCUAGUAGUCC
Molecule: ribosomal RNA, 450 nt
Filed under: uncultured bacterium
Lineage: Bacteria
Description: partial 16S ribosomal RNA
Rfam family: Bacterial small subunit ribosomal RNA
Source: RNAcentral